CUGUUCUUCCCCUGCUUGUAAUUUGUUUUCAUGUCUUGUCUCCCCUGCUGAAUCGCAAACUCCUCGAGGGCAGUCAUCUUGUCUCCAUAUCUUACCCUCCCAAGUGCUCUCUCUAGCUCCGCACACGGUAAGCGCUCAUCAGUCGACCGGUCGAACUUCUGGAAUUGGAGCAACGAUGGCAAGACUGGAUGUAUUCGUGAAGCACAAGGCAGAACGGACCACGGCGUUUUUGAAAGGGACAACCCUAGCUUCCUUUGGUUUUUACUCUACUGAAUGUGUAAGCUGCCCCCUGACCACUUACCACUCCUUUCCUCUUACUACACAGGUGAGCCCUGAGGUAAGUAUCAUGGCUGUCCACCUUCUAACCCCGGGUCCUCUCUGCUGUGUGAAGCAGCCAGAAUUGAUGUACUUAUUUCUUUUUUUUCAUUCUGUCCUCUGUCACAUCCUCAACUGUGCUGAUCCGUCUCUUCCUGAGGAGGCUUUUUGUCGUCCAUUAAUUUUUCCUCUCACCUCAAGUUUUUAAUCAUUAUUAUCCUCUAAGCUCCUUCCGCUCUCCCAGGCUCCCUGUAAAUCCUUAUCCUUUAGACUGCAAGCUUGUCGUGGGCAGGGAACAGAUCUACCAACUCUGUUGUAUUAUUCUCUUCCAAAUGUUUAGUACGGUGCUCUGCACGCAGUGAGCGUUCAAUAAAUACAACUGAUGGAUCAACACCCAAAAAUUGCUUAAUUUUGGCCCUUGUGUUGUUGUGCUCCGGAAGAGCAAAAUGGGAAGAAUGAGAUUUCUGGCCUCUGUGAGAAACACUCUAGUCCUUUCUGGGAUUCACAUCUUUUAGGUCAAUCCCAAGAACACCAAAUCCAUAAACGAUACCAGAAGAGGCGACAGGUUAAAGCGGUAAGACAACCCUCUUUAACUCUUCGAAUGGGCUCUGACUUAACCAUGGUAGUUAUCAUUAUUGAAUGGCUGAAGGGAGAGAGAAAGAAGUUAAUUGACUUGCAUAUGAACAUAAAGCCAGAAAACUAGGUUAGAAUCAAUAAUGGCAUUUAUUGAGUGCUUACUGAGAGUUCAGUAGUCUACUGAGCAUUUUGGAGAGCACAGUACAAUGGAGUUGGUAAAUAUCUUACCUGCCCACAAGGAGCUUACAGUUGAGAAGGAGGCAGACAUUAAAAUAAAUAACAGA
This 1175-nucleotide long non-coding RNA is filed under the name Ornithorhynchus anatinus (platypus). Its description in RNAcentral is "lncRNA (ENSOANG00000041255.1)". The record is from RNAcentral. Lineage: Eukaryota; Metazoa; Chordata; Mammalia; Monotremata; Ornithorhynchidae.